AGUGAACGCUGGCGGUAGACCUAACACAUGCAAGUCGAACGGCAGCACAGUAAGAGCUUGCUCUUACGGGUGGCGAGUGGCGGACGGGUGAGGAAUACAUCGGAAUCUACUUUUUCGUGGGGGAUAACGUAGGGAAACUUACGCUAAUACCGCAUACGUCCUACGGGUGAAAGCAGGGGAUCUUCGGACCUUGCGCGAUUGAAUGAGCCGAUGUCGGAUUAGCUAGUUGGCGGGGUAAAGGCCCACCAAGGCGACGAUCCGUAGCUGGUCUGAGAGGAUGAUCAGCCACACUGGAACUGAGACACGGUCCAGACUCCUACGGGAGGCAGCAGUGGGGAAUAUUGGACAAUGGGCGCAAGCCUGAUCCAGCCAUACCGCGUGGGUGAAGAAGGCCUUCGGGUUGUAAAGCCCUUUUGUUGGGAAAGAAAAGCAGCAGGUUAAUACCCCGCUGUUCUGACGGUACCCAAAGAAUAAGCACCGGCUAACUUCGUG
Molecule: ribosomal RNA, 492 nt
Filed under: uncultured bacterium
Lineage: Bacteria
Description: partial 16S ribosomal RNA
Rfam family: Bacterial small subunit ribosomal RNA
Source: RNAcentral